This 42439-nucleotide long non-coding RNA is filed under the name Ananas comosus (pineapple). Its description in RNAcentral is "long non-coding RNA (ACOM_LNC007759)". Lineage: Eukaryota; Viridiplantae; Streptophyta; Magnoliopsida; Poales; Bromeliaceae. The record is from RNAcentral.
UCCCAGAAGGUUGCCGCUAUGCAUCAAUACACAGUCGUUUCACGCCACAGGUUUCAAUUACCGUAAUGCAAAGGUUGCGAGCUCUUCAAUUUAGGGAAUCUGGUUCACCUAUUAUGACUCUUUAUAGCGAGGCAAAAUGGUUACGCCUGUUGGAUUUACAUGAUUCCAAAAUUUCUAUGUUGNAAAGCAUUGGCGCGUGCGUUCCGGCCCCCACCAUAAUUAUUGGAGACACAGCACAAUAAUUGGAGCAAUCAUCUUCCACUGGUGGAGGAGCAUCCCCUUAUCAUCCUCUGCUUCUCUGUAGUAGGACGUUCGUAUUGAGAAGGAUUAGGCAGCAGCACGCGCGCGCGAUGGCGGAGGGGAUCGCAUUCGAAUUGGUGACGGGAGUGCUGGGCAAGCUGGGCUCCGCUCUCGGGGACGAAAUCGGGCUGCUGCGGAGCUUCAAGGACGACGCGGACGACCUCCGAAGCAACUUCUCUGCGAUCCAGGCGGUGCUUCUCGACGCCGAGGAGCGAAGCAGCGCUGGGAAGGAGAGCCACGCUCUGCGCGACUGGCUGCGCAAACUGAAGGACGCCGCCUACGACGCCGACGACCUGCUGGACGAGAUCCGGACGCAACAGCAGUACCCCGAGGUGCAGAAUCAUCAACACCAGCCAGCUGGAAAGGUACGUGGAUUUCUGUCCCGCGCUAAUCCGAUGCAUCUGAAGUUUAAGGUCAAGAUGGCGCACAGGAUGAAAGCGCUCAGAGAAAAGAUCGGUAAGAUCGCGAAACAGAGGCAUGAUUUCGGUCUUGCCGAAGCUGGCCCUCUUGGACAGGCUGAGUUCAAGCGCCCUGAGACAUUCUCGGUCGUCGACGAAAAGACAAUAGUGGGGAGAGAUGGUGAUAAAGAGGAAAUUGUGAACCUUCUCCUAGAGACUAACAGCGAUCACGACGUGUCGGUCAUUCCGAUCGUGGGAUUGGGGGGAUUGGGGAAGACGACGCUUGCUCAGCUGGCCUACAACGACGAGCGGGUUACGGACGAGCUGGUUACGGGCCAGAAGCGCUUUGAUCUACGGGUGUGGGUCUGCGUGUCUACCGAUUUCCACAUGAAGACGAUUGCAAAGCCGGUGAUAUCUGCAGCUGGAGAAAAUUGUGCUCUUGAUAACUCGGAUGCCGUUGCCACUUGCCUUGUCAGGAUCUUUAGCCAGAAGAGAUUUUUGCUGGUGCUGGAUGAUGUAUGGAACGAAGAUCAGAAUAAGUGGAAGGAAUUGAAUGUUGUAUUUAAGAACAGCAAGAAGGGAAGUAAAGUCUUAGUGACCACGCGGAGCGAAAAGGUUGCCGAGAUAAUGAAAACAGUCAAACCGCACCGUGUGAAAGGCUUAUCAGAUGAUGAUUGUUGGACAUUGUUCAAAAGACGGGUAUUCGAUGAUGGGGAAGAGAACUACUAUCCGAGUUUGGUCGCAAUCGGAAAGCAGAUAGUUAAGAAGUGCGGCGGUGUGCCGUUAGCAGCAAAUGCUUUAGGAAGUAUGAUGCGCUUUAAGAGCAGGACAGAGGAUGCAUGGUCCGCUAUUAGAGAUAGCGAAAUUUGGAGUCUGAAAGAAGAGAAAACUAUUUUACCAUCGUUAAAGUUGAGCUACAUUCAGAUGCCGUCGGCUUUGAAGCAGUGCUUUUGUGACGCCCCAACUUCCCAGGAGGUCACCCAUCCUAGGACUACUCCCGUCCUAGCACGCUUAACUCUCUUAACCUCUUAGGCCUUGCUACCACCCAAAAUGCUUAAGCUGGGUUAAGAGUUUAGCCCUAUUAUAUCUUGUAUAUAGGACUACCCGGGGUCUCACAGCUUUGCUUACUGCUCCAUAUUCCCCAAAGACUAUGAGAUUGACAAGGAUGACUUGAUCCGGCAAUGGAUUGCUUUAGGCUUCAUUUCAUCGCAUGAAACAUGGACUUCGACGGAAGAUAUUGGGAAUGAGUACUUUAACAAUCUAUUAUGGAUGUCUUUCCUUCAAGACGUGAAGGAAAAUUAUAGAAAGGUUACCACCUGUCGGAUGCAUGAUUUAGUGCACGACCUCGCACAAUCUGUAGCAAGAGAAGAAGUUGCUGCUAUAGUUGGAAAAGAGUCAACAGGGUUCCCGGAAGGUUGUCGCUAUGCAUCAAUACACAGUAGUUUCAUGCCACAGAUUCCAACCACAGUAGUGCGGAGGUUGCGAGCUCUUCAAUUUAGGAAAUCUGGUUCACUUAUUAUGGAUUUUUAUAGCGAUGCAAAAUGCUUAUGCCUGUUGGAUUUACAUGGUUCCAAAAUUUCUAUGCUGCCAAGCUCAAUCGGUAAGUUGAAGCUCAUANUAAGAUACCUCAACCUUUCGAAGAACAGUAUACAAGAAUUGCCUGAAUCAACUACCAGCCUCUGCAACUUGCAAACCUUGAAUCUUUCACGCUGCCGCGAGAUCCGUACAUUACCCAAAUUUCUAGGAAGGCUUACGAAUUUGCGGAUUUUAGAUUUAGGAGGUUGCCUAUCUCUGACAAUACUGGACUCCAUUAGCAACCUUCAGAAUUUGUACACACUAGAUUUGAGUUGGUGCCAAAAGGUGAUAUCACUUGAACCUAUAUGUCACCUCAAAAACCUGCAUGACUUAAACCUAUCAUGUCUAAAAUCUUUGGUGGCAUUACCUGAAUCCAUUGGGAGCCUUCAAAACUUGCGUAUUCUGAACCUUUCUUGGUGCUAUUCCCUACUAUCAUUACCCUCAUCGUUAUGUCACCUCAAAAACCUGCAUAGGUGCUCUUCUCUAGAAUCGUUACCCUCAUCGUUAUGUCACCUCAAAAACCUGCAUCACUUAAACCUAUCGUGUCUAAAUUCUUUGGUGGCAUUACCUGAAUCCAUUGGGAGCCUUCAAAACUUGCAUAUUCUGAACGUUUCUGAAUGCUCGUCUCUAGAAUCAUUACCCUCAUCGUCAAGUGAUCUUCAGCAUUUAGAGAAACUCGACAUCCGUGAUUGUGGAAAAUUAUGUGAGCUGCCUAAAAUGAUCCAAAAGCUGACCAAACUUAGAGUCUUGUUAAACAACAAUUGCUCGGAAUUGAAGGGCAUGCCCCGAGGGAUCGGCAAGUUAGUUAGCUUGCAGGAAUUGUCCGUUUUUGUCGUCGGCAAGCAAGACCGCGUCGAACAUUGUGCCAGCAUCUCUGAGCUAGAGCACUUGAAGCUUGUCGGCCAGCUGCGGAUCAAGGGUCUCGAGAAUGUGACGAGUCCGGUUGAUGCCAAGGCUGCAAAUUUGAUAGAGAAGAACCUGCGGUCUUUGAAGUUGGAAUGGAACGUUUUAAGCGCAGAAGAAGCCGUGUUAGAAAAUCUUCAACCACAUCAAAAGCUAGAGAAUUUGGAAAUAGGAGGCUAUGGAGGCGGGAAGUUUCCUAGCUGGAUGAUGAACAGGAUUGGCUCGUGCCUCCCAAAUCUCGUUAAAAUCAAACUAGCGAAUAUGCCCGGAUGCAGCUCACUUCCGCAGCUGGGGCAACUUCCUUUUCUUGAAGAACUGACUAUACGAAACAUGCCCGCGGUAACAAAUUUGGGCGUAGAUAAGUUCCCUGCGCUGACGACACUUGAGUUGUCCUCCAUGCCGGAGCUGCGAGAAUGGGUGACUGUGUUGACGGUGGAUGACGAAGAAGGCAGGCGAGAGCGAGUUCCCAUUUUUCCGCGUCUCACUCAAUUGUGGCUUAAAGGAUGUCCUCAAUUGAGGCCGGAGCCUUGCGUCCCGCCAUCGGUUAAGUAUCUGACCAUUUCUAGAGCAAGCAAGGAGAAUCUAUCGUUGAUACUCGAACGCGCGAUGCCAUUUGGAGGCGGUGAUGCCGCCGUUUCACCCCAACCGCCACCAGAUAAGGGGCUGCGGGAUCUAGUAAUAAACGAAUGUCAGCAGCUUACCUGUUUGCCCGAGAGCUUGCGGGGUCUCACGUCCCUCCAGCGGCUGAGAAUAUCUGAUUGUGAAGAUCUUGAGAGAAUUGAAGAUUGGCUCGGGGAGCUCUCCGACCUGCAGUCCUUGGAGAUCUGGGAGUGCAGCAGUCUCCGUUACUUGCCUGCGCACAAGAUGACCACACUUCAGGAGUUAGAUAUUAACAAGUGCCCCCUGUUGUUCGAUGCGGACGGACGAUUUGUCGACACCAGUGUCGAUCACAUCAAAAAUGUCGAAGUUGAUGGGAGGUAAUUAAUUUGGAACUCUGACUACUCUUUAAUUAAUGAGCUAGCACCUUAAUAUUCUAUUGUAGCUAGCAUGAACAUCUCGGUUUUUUUUUUNCUCUGCAACUUGCAAGCCUUGAAUCUUUCAGGCUGCCGUGAGAUCCGUACAUUACCCAAAUUUCUAGGAAGGCUUACGAAUUUGCGGAUUUUAGAUUUAAGGGAUUGCCCAUCUCUGACAAUACCUGACUCCAUUAGCAACCUGCAGAAUUUGUAUGCACUAAAUUUGAGUUUGUGCAAAAACGUGAUAUCACUUGAACCUAUAUGUCACCUCAAAAACCUGCAUUACCUAGACCUAUCAUAUCUAGAUUCUUUGGUGGCAUUACCUGAAUCCAUUGGAAGCCUUCAAAAUUUGCGUGGUCUCAACCUUUCUAGCUGCUCUUCUCUAGAAUGGUUACCCUCAUCAUUAUGUCACCUCAAAAACCUGCAUCUCUUAAACCUAUCAAAUCUAGAAUCUUUGGUGGCAUUACCUGAAUGCAUUGGGAGCCUUCAAAACUUGCGUAUUUUGAGCCUUUUUGGCUGCUCUUCUCUAAAAUCAUUACCCUCAUCAUUAUGUGAUCUCAAAAACCUGCAUGACUUAAACCUAUCACGUCUAAAAUCUUUGGUGGCAUUACCUGAAUCCAUUGGGAGCCUUCAAAACUUGCGUAUUCUGAAUGUUUCUAAAUGCUAUUCUCUACUAUCGUUACCCUCAUCGUCAAGUGAUCUUCAGCAUUUAGAGAAACUCGACAUCAGUGGUUGUAAAAAAUUAUGUGAGCUGCCUAAAAUGAUCCGAAAGCUGACCAAACUUAGGGUCUUGUUAAACAACAAGUGCUCAGAAUUGAAGGGCAUGCCCCGAGGGAUCAGCAAGUUAGUUAGCUUGCAGGAAUUGUCCGUUUUUGUCGUCGGCAAGCAAGACCGCGUGGAACAUUGUGCCAGCAUCUCUGAGCUCGAGCACCUUAAGCUUGUCGGCGAGCUGGAGAUCAAGGGUCUUGAAAAUGUGACGAGUCCGGUUCAUGCCAAGGCUGCAAAUUUGAUAGAGAAGAACCUGCGGAAUUUGAAGUUGGAAUGGAAAGUUUUAAGUGCGGAAGAAGGCACGGAUAGUACUGUACUACCGGUGGAAGAGAUCGAAACCGUGCUUGAAAAUCUUCAACCACAUCAAAAGCUAGAGAAUUUGAAAAUAGAAGGCUAUGGAGGCGGGAAGUUUCCUAGCUGGAUGAUGAAUAGGAUUGGCUCGUGCCUCCCUAAUCUACUUCAAAUCGAACUAGCGGAUAUGCCCGGAUGCAGCUCACUUCCGCAGCUGGGGCAACUUCCUUUUCUUAAAGAACUAACUAUACGAAAUAUGCCCGCAGUAACAAAUUUGGGGGUAGAUAAGUUCCCUGCGCUGACGAGACUUGACUUGUCCUCCAUGCCGGUGCUGCGAGAAUGGGUGACUGUGUUGACGGUGGACGACGAAGAAGGCAGGCGAGAGCGAGUUCCCAUUUUUCCGCGUCUCACUGGAUUGUGGCUUAAAGAAUGUCCUCAGUUGAGGCCGGAGCCUUGCCUGCCGCCAUCGGUUUUGAUUAUGAUCAUUUCUAGAACAAGCAGCGAGAAUCUAUCGUUAAUUCUCGAACGCGCGACGCCAUUUGGUGAUGGUAAUGCCGCCGUUUCACACCAACCGCCACCAGAUAAGGGGCUGCAGGAUCUAGUAAUAAACGAAUGUCAGCAGCUAACUUGUUUGCCCGAGAGCUUGCGGGGUCUCACGUCCCUCCAGCGCCUGGACAUAUGGGGUUGCCAUGAUCUUGGGAGAAUUGAAGAUUGGCUCGGGGAGCUCUCCGACCUGCAGUCCUUGACCAUCUCGAAGUGCCGCAGUCUCCGUUACUUGCCUGCCCGCAAGAUGGCCGCACUUCAGAUGUUAUCUAUCGGGAAUUGCCCGCUGUUGUUCGAUGCAGACGGACAAUUUGUCGACACCAGUGUCGAUCACAUCAAAGAAGUCUAUGUUAAUGGAAGGUAAUUAAUUUGGAACUCUGACUACUCUUUAAUUAAUUAGCUGGCUAGCACCUAAAUAUUAAUUCUAUCGUAGCUAGCAUAAACAUCUCUUUUUCUUUUUCUUUUUUUUUUCUAAAUAUUCGGAUGGAAAACUUUCAAUUAGCCCCACCGCACCUGAUUCAGAGCAUUUUCGUUUGCUAUGAAAUAUUUCAUUUUGCUAUUUUAUAGUUUUGUUUUUAUUUUCUUGCAAAAAUCUUCUACAAGAAAGAAAAAAGAAACAAAUUAAAGUGCUAAAAUGUAUGAAUUAUAAGGCUGUCAAUUAAUUUAUUUUACAAACCACAUAGGGACUGUGUGAAAUAUAUAUAUAUAAUCAUUUUAGUAUUUUAUGGUUUAUAAAUUUAUCACUUUAAUACUCCACUUUAAUUACUUGAGAUUGGAUAUAAUCAUAGGAUUUUCAAGUAAAACUAUUUAAAACGUAGUGUGGCAAAAAGAAAACACAUUAAACUACAUUUCAAUAUCAAAAGUGCAAUUAAGAUAUUCGAAAACAUGGUUGGUUUUCUGGAAAAAUUUUCAAGUGGUCUCUUGCAUGUGCAUAGACUAAUUAAUGAAAUUUUAAUCUUUUCUUAAUUUGUAGCGAUUUGAGAUGCCAGAAAAUUUCUACUUGAACGAUAUAUAGUAUUUACAAAGUAAUUAUUUUCAGUGAUAUUGUUGAUAUACUAUUUGAGUCCUUGGAUAUUUUUUUUUACAAAUUGAAAUUAGGUAUCUUAUAUAUCAUACAUUAUUAAAAUGUCUAAGCAAAAUGUCCAGCACAUGUUGCACGAGCGUCGGAUAAAAAAUAACCAUUUUGUGUUGUUGUGUUGUAGUUCUUACCGGUACAAGAAACAAGCGAGCAGCUCACCACAGGAGGAAGAGAGCUCAGCGAAGGAGGAGAAGAAGAUUGGUUAGCGAGNGAAAAAUUUCUACUUGAACGAUAUAUAGUAUUUACAAAGUAACUAUUUUUGGUCAUAUUGUUGAUAUAUUAUUCAAGUCCUGGAAUAUUUUUCUUUAUAAAUUGAAAUCAGGUAUGUUAUAUAUCAUACGUUAUUAGAAAGUCUAAGCAAAAUGUGCAGCACAUAUAUACUGCACGAGCGUCGAAUAAAAAAGUAACUAUUUUGUGUUGUUGUGGUGUAGAAAAUACCCGUACAAGGAACAAGCGAGCAGCUCGCCACAUGUGGAAGAGAGCUCACCGAAGGAGGAGGAGGAGAAGAAGAUUGGUUAGCGAGGAGAGCAUAAGUAUAUGUACCUAUUAUUUGGAGGUAAAAAGAUAUUAGAUAUUAUCUAAACUAUACUGCACUUUGAAAGCGGCCAAUUGGGCUUUACGAAAUUCGAUUUUAAUUCGAUUUUGACAUAAGAAAUUUUCUUUGAAAGAUUUGUUAGAUCCUUUUAGAAUUUAGUCUCUUCCGUUAAACAAAGUGCAGAAUGUUUCAUAAAAUAACAAAAUAUUUUUUUUAUCAAAUUUUAAAAUAUUUUAUCAAAAAAUGUUAAGUAACCUUUCAAAUUCUCUAUGGAACAUAAUAAACACGGCGGAAAGUUAGAGAGUAGAAUUAAAUUUUUUAAAGUUCNAUAUAUAUAUAUAUAUAUAUAUAUAUAUAUAAUUGAGCCAGAAUACUGUUAAAAGAACCAACCCCUUGGUACUUUUGAGUUUCUAGCCCUUGGAUCUACUCCUUGAUUAUUAAUAAUCUUUGAAUCAAACACUAUUCCACCUACCACCACUUACCACCAUCAUCUCAACCCUACAUCUUUCCAUUCAAUAGCUAAAAACUCAAAAGCACCAAUCCCUUGGUGCUUUUGAGAGUAUUCUAGUUCAACUCUUCCUCUCUCUCUCUCUCUCUCUCUCUCUAUAUAUAUAUAUAUAUUAGUAUUUUAUGGUUUAUAAAUUUUAGCACUUUAGUACUCUACUCUACUUUAGAUAGGUUCUUAUGAUCGUAUAUAAUUAAAAAAAAAAUCCAUAGGAUUUUCAAGUAAAACUAUUUAAAACGUAUGGCGGCAAAAUGAAAACGGGUUAAACCACAUUUCAAUAUCAAAAGUGCAGUUAAGAUAUUCGAAAACAUGGUUGGUUUUCUGGAAAAAAAUUCAAGUGGUCUCUUGCAUGUACAUAGAGUAAUUAAUGAAAUUUUAACCUUUUCUUAAUUUGUAGCGAUUUGAGAUGCUGGAAAAUUUCUACUUGAACGAUAUAUAGUAUUUACAAAGUAAUUAUUUUCGGUCAUAUUGUUAAUACACUAUUCAAGUUCUGGGAUAUUUUUCUUUACAAAUUGAAAUCAGCUAUGUUAUAUAUCAUACGUUAUUAGAAAGUCUAACCAAAAUGUACAAUACAUAUAUGCUGCACGAGCGUCGGAUAAAAAAGUAAUCAUUUUGUGUUGUUGUGCUGUAGAAAAUACCCGUACAAGGAACAAGCGAGCAGCUCACCACAUGUGGAAAAGAGCUCACCGAAGGAGGAGAAGGAGAAGAAGAUUGGUUAGCGAGGAGAGCAUAAGUAUAUAUACCUAUUAUUUGGAGGUAAAAGGAUAUUAGAUAUUAUAUCUAUACUAUACUGCACUUUGAAAGUGGCCAAUUGGGCUUUAUGAAUUUUGAUAUUAAUUCGAUUUUAAUUCAAUUUUGAUAUAAGAAAUUUUCUUUGAAAGAUUUGUUAGAUCUUUUUAGAAUUUAGUCUCUUCCGUUAAACAAAGUGCAGAAUGUUUCAUAAAAUAAAAAAUAAUUUUUUAAUCAAAUUUUAAAAUAUUUUAUCAAAAAAUGUUAAGUAUCUCAAAGGACCAUAAUAAGCACUGCGGAAAGUUAGAGAGUAGAAUUAAAUUUUUUAAAGUUCAGUUAUUUAUCUCAAAGCGUAGUAUAGCUCACGUAAGAAUCAUUCUCUUUUAGCUUAUUUGGUGAUCACUAUUCCCCUUUGAGAAGAGUUUUCUUUUUCCCUUUGUUUUGCCAAAAAUAAACAAAUUUUAUAUAUCUACAUGCAAUGGUGACAGUUUUUAUUCAUAAACUUGUGGCCUUCUCUUUCAAGUUGGUGCUAUUUAGCUUUCCGGACAAGAAUUGUAGUGUGCUGUUGUCGGGUUAAUAUAUAUUUGUGUUUUCGUGAUAUAAAUUUAGUUUCGGAAUGUACUAUUUUAUAAUUUGGUUUGAUUGUUGGUAAUUUUAUGGUGUUCUCUAUAUAUGUUAUGGGCUUGAAAAAGAUUGUUUGGUUUGAAUAAACAAAAUGUUGCUACUUUUUUAAUACGGAUAUUAGAGGGUACAUUAAUUUUUAAGUAAAUCUCACGUAGAGUUUAUUACUAGCUAGUAUAUAUGCAUUGUGUUACGAACUUGUUUAAAAUCAGAUGCUGUUUUUGGCAUGCAAGUUGAAGCUAGUAUAUAUGUAUGUACCGCAGUUGAGAGGGUUAAUUUCCAUCUAUGUUUACUUUAAUUUAUCUUUUCUUUUAUUUGAUUAGAUCCGAAUUAAGCCGAUAAAUUUUAAAGUAUUAAAAGUUUUAUUAUUUUGCUUUCUGCAAGAUUUUUAGUUUUUAAAUUCNUGAAGUACUAAAAUUUUAUUAAUUUUCUUUUCGCAAGAUUUUUAGUUUUUAAUUCCCCAAAUUCGAAAUCAAUUUAUUACUAAAAUCAAACUUGAGGUGCUUUUCCCAUUUGGUUUUCACGAAACGUGUGGUUUAAAUGGGAAUAUAGAUUUAUGUUGCCGCACAAUUUAAUUUAUUUGAUUUAAGCGAUUUGAUUACUUUUUUAAUAUAAAAUUUAGAAUAAUUAUUUAUUUCAAUAAAUUUAUAUUUGCAUAAUUAAAAAUAUAUUUAAAAUUUUAAAGUCAAAGAGUCAUUAGUUGAUUUAAAUCAAAUAAAUUAAAAGAUUAUAUAGCAAAAUUAAAAUUUUUAAAGAUUAGAUAAUCAGAUUAAAAGAACUGACAGUCGGGGCGAGUUAUAUAAAUUUUUGACUUUUUUAUCCAAGAAAUCUGGAAAAUUAAAAGAGGUAUUUACUUCAAAAUAUGUUAAACUAUUAUUAUUAUUAUUAUUAUUAUUAUUUUACCAUAAAGCAUUUUCGAGAACCUAACAUUUGGGACCAACCGUAAAAAUAAUAAGAAAAAUUGUGCGAAAUUAACUGAAAAUUUAUUUUAUUGAAAAUCUCACCGUGAAUUUUUUUUUUUAUUGUCUAUUCUUUCUGAUUUGAGUUUGCUUUUCUUCUUCUUUUUUUUUGGGAAAAUGCAGUAUGCAUAAUUGAUCCUUGAUUUAUACUAUAGUUUCAGCUUAACAACUGGAAAAAAAAAUGCUAUAAAAAUUAAAUAUGUGGAUAAAAUAUUAAGGUAUCGCAUAAAUAUAACCGCAUAGUUCUUCAAUAACAAUUAAGCACAAUUUUAUAGCUUCGGACGAGAAAAGAUUAGAAGCAGUUUUAAAAUUUUUGGACCUUUCAAAAUAUGAAAAUGUUGCUUCUUACCACUACGUUCCUAAAGAAAGUUGGGUUAGUUGCAAUUUUUUAUACUUACGAAUUAAAUGAAUGAAAUACAAUAAAAAGAAAAUAUUAAGGAUGAAUAAAACCUUGGUGCAUCACCUGUUUGGAUGCACCAGGUGUAGGCAGUGAUUUUUCAUAAAACGAAAUCGUAAAGCGUUAAAGAAUAGGUAGUCAAAUUAAUUUAAAUUUUUAAAUAUUAGAUAAUUAAUUUCAAAUUAUAAAAGUUCAGAUUAAUUAAGUACAUUUUUAUACCCAAAAAUUAAACACAGCAACAACAACAACAACAUGACCACUGCAAAGAGGGGUCUUUCUUUCUCAUAAAGAACAGGGCAUCCCGUGCACCAAGAUACGAAUUUGGUUGAUCAAGAGAGAAAAUUUUGGCUCUCCAAUAGAUAGAACAAAAACUUGCUGCAUACAAUUGUGGAGCAAAGCCUUUUUUAAAAUAAAAAAGGUGAUAAAACCUUAAUUAGCAAGAGAUGUUUUAUGUACGAAAUUAUUUUUAUUUUUAUUUUUUAAGAGAUAGGUAGCACGCCACCUACUUCGUUUAUUUCAUUUAGAAAUAAACUUAGCUGAAAAUAUGAAUCAACUAGGAUUCGAACUUGGGUCUCGGGUACUAACCACUAAGCCCUUUGCCACUUGCUUUAGGAACGGUCGGUUAUGUACGAUAAAUUAACAAGUGCAUUUAUGUAUGGUAACUUGGUAACGGUUAUACCUUCCUACUUGUACUGUUUGGAUUCAUUAGUGAUAUUUGCAGUUUGUUAUGAAUGCAUUAAGCAGUGCAAUGUGUACGUAUGCUUCAAAAGCUAGGUGUUUCGCCAAAUAAUUAAUCGAAUGGUUUAAGCUAGGUGUGUUGCCCAAAGAUUCAAAUAAAUGGUUCAAGUUAGGGGUUUUUUAAAAAAAUUCUUGUUAAGUAUUGGAUGGAUCUUUGCUUCAAUCUGAGCAGUUUUGGAGUUAACAGCUUGUUUUGGAUACUCUCUAAUACUAUUUUUUGAAAUAGAGUUGUUACUGUUAAGUGUUAAAUAUAAAAAUGUUUAAAUACCGUUUUCUAACAAUUUAAGCUUUUAGAGUACAACGGUUAUUUCACAUGGUAUCAGAGCAGGAGGUUCUAAGUUCGAGUCACGCUAGGCUCCUAGCAUAUUAAUUUUCUUCCAUUUAAUUCAAGCCCACGUCAUGGGCCGAUUAAAAAGUUUUGAGCCCAGACGUGAGGGGGAGUGUUAAGUGUUAAAUAUAAAAAUGUUUAAACACCGUUCUCUAAGUACAACGGUUGUUUCACAGUUACUACAGUUACUCCUCUUGUUGAUGUACUGCAGUACUGGGUGAUGCUACUGGUGUCUUUGAAUGAUGAGUUUAGACCAAUAGCAGCUAAGUUAAAAAUUGAAACAGUUUCAAUCUUAAAACUUCUAAAUAAUAAUAGUAUUUAAGAUUGCUUUUAGUUUUAGCUCAGCAUCUAAAUUGUUCUCCAGCAAUCCAUACAUAUUUGCCUUUUGAUGUAGAAUCAUUGGGCAUACACUUCACAGUUUAAGAAAAGCUGCAUAAUAGAAAAGCUGCAAAAUCAUAAAUAGAAUGAGUGCAUAAAUAGAAGAGAAUUAAUUAAUAACAUUGAUGUCUAAAACAAAUUUCUCCUUCAUGAAGUUUUGAGUCAUCAUCCUACUUGCUUCAUUUCUCUCGCUGCCAUCAACAUGCAUCUUGGAUGCAUUAGGAUUUACUUAAAGUGACAACAAAAGUGAACAAAAACCAAAGCAAAAUAAAAAAGCAAAAUAAAGGAGUAGCAACAAAUAAAAACAAUAAACUCUGAAAGGCAUUAACAUAGAUUGAAGCCAAAUGCACAGCUAAACAAGUAGCGUGGGUCAGUCCAUAAAAAUCUCUAGAUGCUGCAUGUAGUCCUCUAAAUCUUGCAAUUUAUCUGAAAUAAAAAGAGAUGCAUCAUGUGCAGAAGUAUGUAACACUAAGGAUUGCAGAUGUAGGCGAUCUGAUCAUGAGCAACUACAAACUAUGGCUGGCACACAUUUAUUUAAUUAUAUUUUACUUGUUCACUAAGCGGAGAGCCAGCUCAGCCACCAUGAUCAUUGCUCUCUUUUACGAAGUGGGGCGUGUGAAAUUGCCCCACUCUACUUUUAUUUUUUUCACUUAUAUUUAUUUGUCUCAAUUAGAUCUCUAUAUUAAUAACAAUGUUAUUUUCUUUUUUGUUUUAAACCUAUGUUAAGACCAUCAAGAGUUGAGUAGCAGUUGAGAUCUAUGGCAAUGGUGACAACAAUGAAAAACAAAUGAGCUGUUGUCUCUAAUAAUAUAAUGAGAAUGCCAAUUUAAUUUUAAUUUGAAUCCGUAAAUUUAAAUUUUAAUUUGAAUCCAUAAAUUUAAUUUAAGUUUGAAAUAAAAUUUCAAUAAAAUNCAGUAAGUCUAUUGAUCUGUCGUAGAGAAAGAGUUGUUAUUUAAUUUAUGAAGAAAUAUAACUUCAAAAUAAGAAAUACGACUGGUGCAUUCAAAAGUAGAGUGUAAAUCUAAGAUUUAUCCUCAAUAUGAAAUUUGUUUAAAAUCUCAUCUUAGCAUCCUUUCAGUGUAAGGACUAGUUUACUGGAAUAGGCUUUGGCAUCCUACCUAAUUCCAUAUAACGUUUUGAUUCUGGUGGUCGCAGUAGGGUAAAUUUGAAUUUAUCAAAUCAACUUAUCAUGACACAUAACUUCUCUUUGCUUUUCCUUUUUUGUUUUUCCUUUUCUUUUUGGAUAAAAGCCUUCCCAUGCUUGUAUGCAAGAGAUUAUAACGGGAUUGCUUAUGAAUAUAAGAGAAGAUUGAUGUUUAUUUUUUGAAAUUUGUUGUUUGUCUGACGAUCCUGAUUAAAUAAUAUGAAGUACAUAUCUCUGUUUCUUACAUUUAUUUGAUCUUUAUAUACGUUUCAUUUUGGUCCUCAAACUUUCAAGUUCCGAGACUAUGAACUCUUAAAAUAUUUUGCACAUCUACCGUUAGAUGGUAAUUUAUUGCCUAAACCUAAUAUACGUGUACUACAUAUUUGUAUACUUAUUUAUCGACUCUGUACUGUUAUGUUAUUUCUACAUUGCCGCUUGUAGAUUUACAAUUUUUUUUUUUUAAUUUAGAAAUUAGAGUAUUGAAUUGAAAGUAUGAGAUGAGAGAUGGGUUGAUGAAUUUGUGGUGCACAAACAUGCCGGUAACAUUUUCCAAGGUAUCGCUGUUCAUUAUUUUGAGGAAUAAUAUAUUUUAUUAUGAGAUAAUUUAUCUUUCCGUGAAAAAAUUGAAUUUUAGGCUAAAUAUUUUAUCCAUUCUAGGAGUUUUCUUAUACUCCUCACAGUAUGAAAUAAUUGCACAAAGCUAGAGUUUCUAUUUUGCACAAACUUAAAUUAACCCCUCCUAUGAUUUACUGUAUUUUUUUAAUUCUGCAAUCGUGCGACUUAGAAGUUUUAUUUUGCUAUCCCAUAGUUUUGUCUUUGUUCUACCGUAACAAUUUGUCAUUAAAUAGAAUAGUAAUGUAAGAUUAUUGUAAAUUAUAAUAAUAAUAUGGUUUGUAAAUUAUAAUAAUUUAGUUACAUGUGGUUUAUAAGUUACACUAUUUUCGCAACUAAUUCAACUGAAGGGCCUUAUAGUGAUAAAAAAAAAAUUAAAAAUUUAAAAACAAGGGCAAUAUGUCAAAGCCAAAGUUUUUUUAACCACAUAUUGAAAAAGUGAAAAUAUGCUAAUUUAUAGGGGGCUAAUUAGAAGUUUAUUACAUCCUCUUUUAUAGCGCUAUUCCAUCCAAAGGCCUACAUUUUCACACUAAUUUUAUCAAUUUUUUCUUUGUUCAUAUUAAAAACUUAAAAGUAUUGUGUAAUUUUUUAAAUAUGUGAGUAUAAGAUUUACACUGCACUUUUGAGUGGGUAUAAUAUAUAAAAAGAAUAAAAGCUAAAUCUUAAAAUUCAUCCGUUGACUUAUCAUCCACAUUAUCAGUCAAAAUUUUUAUUUGGACAAGAGUGAUUUUUCAAUCUCUUUUUUUAUUACAUUUGUCACCUAAACAAUUUCAAUAGCAUUUGGAGGUACCAUCUGGAUUUAGGGUUGAGGGUUUGUUCGUAAACUUCGAUUGGCGAAAGUGGUAGCAACGUGCAUGUACUAAAUUGCAUAAGAGUAAAGUCGCAAAAACGUAAAGAGAAUCGGUUCACAAAUAGAAGACGAUUUUAAUUAAUAGCAUUGAUGUCUAAAAAAAAAUUUCUCCUUCAUAAAGUUUUGAGUCAUCAUCCUACUCGCUUUCUUCAUUAAUUACCAUCGCCGCCAUCAACAUGCAUCUUUGAUGCAUCAGGAUUUACCUGAAGUGAAAAGUCCUCCUUUAAGGGACCUUGCAAAAAAAAAAAAAAAAAAAAAAGAAGGUCCCCCUCCUCCUUAAACAUCUUCGUUGCGGUUUUAUUCGUUUCCUCCUUUCCAAGCACGAGAGAGGGGGAAAAAAAAAACCAACAAAGGGAGCUUGCUUCUCUGCCUCUUUAUCCGAAAAUAUUUUUAUAAAUUGUACAAUUGGGUAAAGAUUGAUCAUUGACCCAUGGGGUGUAUUUCACUAGUUACAUUGAUGUUAUUAGUAAAAUACACUUUAUUUUUAAAUAGAUGGGGUGUAUAUUCUAUACCCAAUGAAUGUAUAAGUAAGAGUUUUAAAAAAAAAACAAAAAAAAAGAGUAAAAAAAAAAAAGCAUUGGCGCGUGCGUUCCGGCCCCCACCAUAAUUAUUGGAGACACAGCACAAUAAUUGGAGCAAUCAUCUUCCACUGGUGGAGGAGCAUCCCCUUAUCAUCCUCUGCUUCUCUGUAGUAGGACGUUCGUAUUGAGAAGGAUUAGGCAGCAGCACGCGCGCGCGAUGGNAAAGCAUUGGCGCGUGCGUUCCGGCCCCCACCAUAAUUAUUGGAGACACAGCACAAUAAUUGGAGCAAUCAUCUUCCACUGGUGGAGGAGCAUCCCCUUAUCAUCCUCUGCUUCUCUGUAGUAGGACGUUCGUAUUGAGAAGGAUUAGGCAGCAGCACGCGCGAGCGAUGGCGGAGGGGAUCGCAUUCGACUUGGUCGAAGGAGUGCUGGGCAAGCUGGGCUCCGCUCUCUGGGACGAAAUCGGGCUGCUGCGGAGCUUCAAGGACGACGCGGACGACCUCAGAAGCAACUUCUCGGCGAUCCAGGCGGUGCUUCUCGACGCCGAGGAGCGAAGCAGCCCUGGGAAGGAGACCCACGCUCUGCGCGACUGGCUGCGCAAACUGAAGGACGCCGCCUACGACGCCGACGGCCUGCUGGACGAGAUCCGGACGCAAGCGGCCCUCCGGCAACAACAGCAUCCGGAGGUGCAGAAUCAAAACCAGCCAGCUGAAAAGGUACGUGAAUUCCUGUCCCACGCUAAUCCGAUGCGUCUGAAGUUUAAGGUCAAGAUGGCACACAGGAUGAAAGAGCUCAGAGAGAAGAUCGGUAAGAUCGCGAAACAGAGGCAUGAUUUCGGUCUUGCCGAAGCUGACCCUCUUCGACAGGCUGAGUUCAAGCGCCCUGAGACAUUCUCGGUUGUCGACGAAAAGACAAUAGUCGGGAGAGAUGGUGAUAAAGAGGAAAUUGUGAAGCUUCUCCUAGAGACUAACAGCGAUCACGACGUGUCGGUCAUUCCGAUCGUGGGAUUGGGGGGUUUGGGGAAGACGACGCUUGCUCAGCUGGCCUACAACGACGAGCGGGUUACGGACGAGUUGGUUAUGGGCCAGCAGCGAUUUGAUCUACGGGUGUGGGUCUGCGUGUCUACCGAUUUCCACAUGAAGAAGAUUGCAAAGCCGGUGAUAUCUGCAGCUGGAGAAAAUUGUGCUCUUGAUAACUCGGAUGCCGUCGCCAGUUGCCUUGUCAGGAUCUUUAGCCAGAAGAGAUUCUUGCUGGUGUUGGAUGAUGUGUGGAACGAAGAUAAAGGGAAGUGGAAGGAAUUGAAGGUUGUAUUUAAGGACGGCAGGCAGGGAAGUAAAAUCUUAGUAACCACACGAAGCGAAAAGGUCGCCGCGAUAAUGAAAACAGUCGAACCACACCGUGUGAAAGGCUUAUCAGAUGAUGAUUGUUGGACAUUGUUCAAAAGGCUGGCAUUCGAUGAGGGGGAAGAGAACGACUAUCCGAGUUUGGUCGCAAUCGGAAAGCAGAUAGUAAAGAAGUGCGGCGGCGUGCCUUUAGCAGCGAAUGCUUUAGGAAGUAUGAUGUAUUCAAAGAACAGGACAGAGGAUGCAUGGUCCGCUACUAGGGAUAACGAAAUUUGGAGUCUGCAAGAAGAGAAAACUAUUUUACCAUCAUUAAAGUUGAGCUACAUUCAGAUGCCGUCGGCUUUGAAGCAGUGCUUUGCUUACUGCUCCAUAUUCCCAAAAGACUACGAGAUUGACAAGGAUGACUUGAUCCGGCAAUGGAUUGCUUUAGGCUUCAUUUCAUCGCAUGAAACAUGGACUUCGAUGGAAGAUAUUGGGAAUGAGUACUUUAACAAUCUAUUAUGGAUGUCUUUCCUUCAGGACAAAGAAUAUAGAAAGGUUACCACCUGCCGGAUGCAUGAUUUAGUGCACGACCUCGCACAAUCUGUAGCAAGAGAAGAAGUUGCUGUUAUAGUUGGAGAAGAGUCAACAAGGAUCCCGGAAAGUUGCCGCUAUGUCUUGAUAUACAGUCGUUUCACGCCACAGGUUUCAAUUACCAUAAUGCGGAGGUUGCGAGCUCUUCAAUUUAGGGAAUCUGGCUCACUUAUUAUGGCUUUUUAUAGCGAGGCAAAAUGCUUACGCCUGUUGGAUUUACAUGGUUCCGAAAUUUCUAUGCUGCCAAGCUCAAUCGGUAAGUUGAAGCUCUUAAGAUACCUCAACCUUUCGUCAACCAAUGUACAAGAACUGCCUGAAUCAAUUACCAGCCUCUGCAACUUGCAAUCCUUGAAUCUUUCAGGCUGCCGUNAUUUACAUGGUUCCGAAAUUUCUAUGCUGCCAAGCUCAAUCGGUAAGUUGAAGCUCUUAAGAUACCUCAACCUUUCGUCAACCAAUGUACAAGAACUGCCUGAAUCAAUUACCAGCCUCUGCAACUUGCAAUCCUUGAAUCUUUCAGGCUGCCGUGAGAUCCGUACAUUACCCAAAUUUCUAGGAAGGCUUACGAAUUUGCGGAUUUUAGAUUUAAGCGAGUGCAGUUCUCUGACAAUACUUGACUCCAUUAGCAACCUUCAGAAUUUGUACACACUAGAUUUGAGUUGGUGCCAAAAGGUGAUAUCACUUGAACCUAUAUGUCACCUCAAAAACCUGCAUUACCUAGACCUAUCAAAUCUAGAAUCUUUGGUGGCAUUACCUGAAUCCAUUGGGAGCCUUCAAAAUUUGCGUAGUCUCAACCUUUCUAGCUGCUCUUCUCUAGAAUGGUUACCCUCAUCGUCAAGUGAUCUUCAGCAUUUAGAGAAACUCGACAUUAGUGGUUGUGGAAAAUUAUGUGAGCUGCCUAAAAUGAUCCAAAAGCUGACCAAACUUAGAGUCUUGUUAAACAACAAUUGCUCGGAAUUGAAGGGCAUGCCCCGAGGGAUCGGCAAGUUAGUUAGCUUGCAGGAAUUGUCCGUUUUUGUCGUCGGCAAGCAAGACCGCGUCGAACAUUGUGCCAGUAUCUGUGAGCUCGAGCACCUUAAGCUUGUUGGCGAGCUGGAGAUCAAGGGUCUUGAAAAUGUGACGAGUCCGGUUGAUGCCAAGGCUGCAAAUUUGAUAGAGAAGAAGCUGCGGUCUUUGAAGUUGGAAUGGAACGUUUUAAGUGCGGAAGAAGGCAUUGAUAGUACUGUACUACCGGCGGAAGAGAUCGAAACCGUGCUAGAAAAUCUUCAACCACAUCAAAAGCUAGAGAAUUUGGAAAUAGGAGGCUAUGGAGGCGGGAAGUUUUCUAGCUGGAUGAUGAACAGGAUUGGCUCGUGCCUGCCAAAUCUCGUUGGAAUCGAACUAGCGGAUAUGCCCGGAUGCAGCUCACUCCCGCAGCUGGGGCAACUUCCUUUUCUUGAACAACUGACUAUACAAAACAUGCCCGCGGUAACAAAUUUCAGCGUACAUAAGUUCCCUGCGCUGAAGACACUUGAGUUGUCCUCCAUGCCGGUGCUGCGAGAAUGGGUGACUGUGUUGACGAUGGAUGAUGAAGAAGGCAGGCGAGAGCGAGUUCCCAUUUUUCCGUGUCUCACUUAUUUGGGUCUAUAUGAAUGUCCUCAGUUGAGGCCGGAGCCUUGCCUCCCGCCAUCGGUUGAGCAUAUGGGCAUCUACAGAACAAGCAAGGAGAAUCUAUCGUUGAUACUCGAACGCGCGAUGCCAUUUGGAGGUGGUGAUGCCGCCGUUUCACCCCAACCGCCACCAGAUAAGGGGCUGCCGGGUCUAGGAAUAGUAGGAUGUCGGCAGCUAACUUGUUUGCCCGAGAGCUUGCGAAGUCUCACGUCUCUCCAGUCGCUGGGAAUAUAUGAUUGUGAAGAUCUCGAGAGAAUUGAAGAUUGGCUCGGGGAGCUCACCGAGCUGCGGUCCUUGUACAUCGAUGGGUGCAGCAGUCUCCAUUACUUGCCUGCGCACAAGAUGACCGCACUUCAGGAGUUAUGUAUUGGGAUUUGCCCGCUGUUGUUCGAUGCGGACGGACGAUUUGUCGACACUAGUGUCGAUCACAUAAAAAAUGUCGAAGUUGAUGGGAGGUAAUUACUUUGGAACUCUAACUACUCUUUAAUUAAUGAGCUAGCACCUUAAUAUUCUAUUGUAGCUAGCAUAAACAUCUGUUUUUUUUUUUUUUNAGCAGUUGAGAUCUAUGGCAAUGGUGACAACAAUGAAAAACAAAUGAGCUGUUGUCUCUAAUAAUAUAAUGAGAAUGCCAAUUUAAUUUUAAUUUAAAAUUAUAUAUUUAAUUUUUAAAUUUUAACUUAUAUUUUAAUUAAAAAAAGUUGAAAAAAUAAAUUUAAUCCGAAUAAAUAUAAUUCCGUACGGAUUCAACUUUUAAUCCGGCCUACUAGGCCGGAUUGAAAAAAGAGGUGAUUGGAGGAUUCUCAUUCCACUCGGGAAUCGGAAUCGGAAUGGGACUCCCACGUACCAAACACUCACAAACGGAUUUACUUAUUCCGAUUCCGAUUUCAAGGUAAAAAAGAAGCAAACCAAACACGCCCAAUAUAUUUAUCUUAUAUCAGCACAAACUUUUUACAAAAAAAUUUCAUUUGGUCGCUAAAAUUUAUAAUAUUUUAAUUUUUACUGUGUCAUAGUUAGAAACUUUUGUGUAAUUUUCAAAAAGUUGAGAGGGUCCAUGACCAUUGUCGGCCUCUCAAUAGCUCUUCCCCUGUUCUGGAUUCAGCAAAGCAUCCUGAGAGGGGAUUGAUACGAGUUUGCUAGAUUGUUAAAUAUAAAUAUAUAAAAAUAUCAUUCUUUACGAGAUUAAUUACUUUUUGAAAAAAAAAAUGAUUAUUUCGUAUUAUUUAACAUCGUAUCAAAGUAGAAAAUUCUGAGUUCGAGUCACGUCAGACUUCUAGCCUAAUUGAUUUUUUCUCUCAGUUAAUUUAAGUCCACAUCGAGCUCAAACGUGAGAAAAAAUAUUAAAUAUAAAAAUAUUAUUAUCUAUCACUUUAAAUUUUUUGAGAAAACGAUUGUUUCGUAUUGUUUAACAUAGAUUGGAGCCAAAUAUAUAGCUAAACAAGUGGCGUGGGUCAAUCCAUAAAAAUCUCUAUAGAUGAUGCUGUAGGUAAGUUCUCUAAAACUUGCAAUUUAUCUGAAACAAAAAGAGAUGAUGUAUCACGUUCAGAAGUAUGUAACAGUGAGGAUUGCAGCAGGCUGUAGGCGAUUUGGUUAUGAGCAACUACAAUUAAACUAUGGCUGGCAUACAUUUAUUUAAUUACAUUUUACAUGUGCACUUAUAGAUAGCAUGCUGUUGUAACUUCCACAUAUUUAUCUUUUUCCUGGAGUGUAGAAUUAUGCUGAGACUUGUGAUCUUUGCACUAUUUUAUAAAGUGCAGGUUUACGUCUGUUUCCAUUUCAAAAAAAUUAUAUAUUUCUUUUUGGUUAAAUUACAUAAAGUGACCUGCACUAUACUGGCGUAUGAAAUUACCCCCCUCCACCCAUCCCUCUGUCAACUUUUAUUUUCUCAUUUAUAUUUAUUUGUCUUAUUUAGACGGUAGACCCCUGUAUAUGUUAAUAACAAGGUUAUUUUACUGAUCGUUUCUAACGCAAGUAGCAAAAAAUUUAGUGGUUGAUAAUCAAGAUUCUAAAUUUGAAUCCUAGUUGAUUCAUAUCUCUAGCUAAGUUUAUUUCUAAAUGAAAUAAACGAAACAGUAGAAUAGCAGUUGAGAUCUAUGGCAAUGGUGACAGCGACGAAAAACAAAUAAGCUCUUGUCUCUAAUAAUAUAAUGAGAAUGUCAACAGAUACAAAAGAAAUCUAAGUUUUUUUAUUCUAGUUUAUGACCGAUUUUGAAAAAAGAUUCCAAUGGCAUCUCUAGUUUAUAAUUUUAUAUACAUUUGAGGUAAUUAGGUGUACUAAAAAUUUCUAUAUUUUUGGCUGACGGGAUCUAAUUUUUUUUAAAAAAUGAUAGUAUAAAGAGGUGUAAAUUAACUAAGAAAAUAAUUUUUUAUGGCAAUUAAGAAAAUCAAUGCUAAUUAGAAAAAGGCGGUUUUGAACUGUGGUGCAGUGCUGCAUAGAGAUGUCAACGGGUCGGAUUCGAGGCGGAUUUUUAAAAACCCGAACCUGAACCCGACUCCAAAUCCGAGACCCGAAUCCGAACCCGAAUCCAACGGAUUUUAAAAAUUCAUAUCCAAACCUGAACCCGACCAAAAAUCCGAAACCCGAACCCGAAUCCGAACCCGAACCCGAAAAUUUGAACCCAAAAUAAUAAAUUUUUUUUUCAAUAUUUCAAAAUAUAUUAUAUUAAAUCUAAAUUUUUAAAAUACAAAUUCAAAUAUAACAUCAAAUUUAUAUAUAUAUAUUAUAUAUAAUACAAAAUAAAUUCGGGUUCGGGUCGGAUUUGGGUUCGGAUUCGGGUUAGGUACAAUCAAAAUCCAUAUCCGAAUCCAUAUCCGUCGGAUUUCUAUUUUUUAUAUCCAUAUCCAUCGGAUAUAUCCGUUUCAUUCGGAUUCGGAUUCGGAUAAAAUUUCGGAUAUUCAUACCCAUUGACAUCCCUAGUGCUGCAGUGGUCCAACUCUCCAUACUUUUUUUUUUCUCUUUUUUGGGCAAUCAAAAUUUAUACAUAUCAAUUCUUCACAUAUAAUAGUAUCUUAGAAUAUUAUCGUGGGGUGAAAAUCAUUUUACUCAAUCUGAUCCCACUCUGAAGCCGAAGAUUGUCGGAUUUGGAGUGAAAUUUUACUAUCCAUUACGGAUUCAGAUUCAAAUCUGAAAUUUGAAUUUUUUUUUUGAGUUCAAAUUAAAGAUUCACUAUUUCUUUUUAAAUUCGAAUUCUAAAUUAUUGGAAACCAAAACUGAUUUUGACCGCUUUUUUAAUUUCUGAAGUAAUACCAUUUAAGCAUCUUUCAGAAAUCUCAAGCAUUCAUUGCGUUUUCUUCAGUUGGAUGAGAAAAUAAUAAUAAUAAUAAUAAUAAUAAUAAUAAGGGCGGCUCUCCUUUUCUGCCGCUUCAUUUUUUAAAAAUGGACACAGAAACGACAAGAUCCAAAGAGCAAAUUUGAAACUGAUAAUAUUUUUUAUAUUCUGCACAAUAGGAUAAGGACGAUUGAGGGACUAGCAUAUGCAAAAGAUCAAAGAUUCCCGGCGUAAUUAUCGAAGCAACAGCACAAUAAUUAAUUGGAGCGAUCACCUACUACCACUGCAGAGCAUCCCCCCUUAUUCUCUGCCUCCCUGCAGUAGGACGGUUGUAUUGAGAAGAAGCACAUAGCUGCUGUCGUAGGUAGCAGCACGCGCGAUGGCGGAGGGGAUUGCAUUCGAUCUGGUCAAAGGAGUGCUCGGCAAACUGGGCUCAACUCUCUGGGACGAAAUCGGACUGCUGCGGAGCUUCAAGAACGACGCGGACGAUCUCAGAAGCAACUUCUCGGCGAUCCAGGCGGUGCUUCUCGACGCCGAGGAGCGGAGCAGCGCUGGGAAGGAGAGCCACGCUCUGCGCGACUGGCUGCGCAAACUGAAGGACGCCGCCUACGACGCCGACGACCUGCUGGACGAGAUCCGGACGCAAGCGGCCCUCCGGCAACAGCAGUAUCCCGAGGUGCUGAAUCAACACCAGCCAGCUGGAAAGGUACGUGAAUUUCUGUCCCGGGCUAAUCCGAUGCAUCUGAAGUUUAAGCGCAAGAUGGCACACAGGAUGAAAGAGCUCAGAGAAAAGAUCGGUAAGAUCGCGAAACAGAGGCAUGAUUUUGGUCUUGCCGAAGCUGGCCCUCUUCGACAGGCUGAAUUCAAGCGCCCUGAGACAUUCUCGAUCGUCGACGAAAAGACAAUAGUCGGGAGAGAUGAUGAUAAAGAGAAAAUUGUGAAGCUUCUCCUUGAGACCAGCAGCGAUCACGACGUGUCGAUCAUUCCGAUCGUGGGAUUGGGGGGUUUGGGGAAGACGACACUCGCUCAGCUGGCCUUCAACGACGGGCAGGUUACAGGCCAGCAGCGCUUCGAUUUACGGGCGUGGGUCUGCGUGUCUACCGAUUUCGACAUGAAGAUGAUUGCAAAGCCGGUGAUAUCUGCAGCUGGAGAGAAUUGUGCUCUUGAUAACUCGGAUGCCGUCGCCAGUUGCCUUGUCAGUAUCUUCAGCCAGAAGAGAUUUUUGCUGGUGCUGGAUGAUGUAUGGAAUGAAGAUCAGGAAAGGUGGGAGAAAUUGAAGGUUUUAUUUAAGGACGGUAAGCAAGGAAGUAAAAUCUUAGUGACCACACGGAGCGAAAAGGUUGCCGAGAUAAUGAAAACAGUCGAGCCGCACCGUGUGAAAGGCUUAUCAGAUGAUGAUUGUUGGACAUUGUUCAAAAGGCGGGCAUUCAAGGAAGGGGAAGAGAAUGACUAUCCGAGCUUGGUCGAAAUCGGAAAGCAGAUAGUAAAGAAGUGUGGUGGCUUGCCUUUAGCAGCAAAUGCUUUAGGAAGUAUGAUGCGCUUUAAGAGCAGAACGGAGGAUGCAUGGUCCGCUAUUAGAGAUAGCGAAAUAUGGAGAUUGGAAAAAGAGGAAACUAUUUUACCAUCAUUGAAAUUGAGCUACAUUCAGAUGCCGUCGGCUUUGAAGCAGUGCUUCGCUUACUGCUCCAUAUUCCCCAAAGACUAUGAGAUUGACAAGGAUGACUUGAUCCGGCAAUGGAUUGCUUUAGGCUUCAUUUCAUCGCAUGAAACAUGGACUUCGAUGGAAGAUAUUGGGAAUGAGUACCUUAACGAUCUAUUAUGGAUGUCUUUUCUUCAAGAUGUGUGGGAAUAUUAUAGAAAGGGUACCACCUGCCGUAUGCAUGAUUUAGUGCACGACCUCGCACAAUCUGUAGCAAGAGAAGAAGUUGCUGUUAUAGGUGCAGAAGAGUCAACGAGGAUCCCGGAAAGUUGCCGCUAUGUCUCGAUAUACAGUCGUUUCACGCCACAGCUGGUUUCAAGUACCGUAAUGCAGAGGUUGCGAGCUCUUCAAUUUAGGGAAUCUGGUUCACCUACUAUGAAUUUUUAUAGCGAGGCAAAAUGGUUACGCCUGUUGGAUUUACAUGAUUCCAAAAUUUCUAUGUUGCCAAGCUCAAUCAGUAAGUUGAAGCUCCUAAGAUACCUCAACCUUUCGGAGAACAGUAUACAAGAAUUGCCUGAAUCAAUUACCAGCCUCUGCAACUUGCAAACCUUGAAUCUUUCAGGCUGCCAAAAGAUCCGUACAUUACCCAAAUUUCUAGGAAGGCUUACGAAUUUGCGGAAUUUAGAUUUAAGCGACUGCAGUUCUCUGACAAUACCUGACUCCAUUAGCAACCUUCAGAAUUUGUACGCACUAAAUUUGAGUUCGUGCGAAAAUGUGAUAUCACUUGAACCUAUAUGUCACCUCAAAAACCUUCAUUACCUAAACCUAUCAGAUCUAAUGUUUAUGGAGACUUUACCAAAAUCCAUUGAGAGCCUUCAAAACUUGCGUACUCUGAAUCUUUCUAACUGCAUUUCUCUGCUAUCAUUACCCUCAUCAUUAUGUGAUCUCAAAAACCUGCAUGACUUAAACCUAUCACGUCUAAAAUCUUUGGUGACAUUACCUGAAUCCAUUGGAAGCCUUCAAAACUUGCGUAUUCUGAACGUUUCUGAAUGCUCUUCUCUAGAAUCAUUACCCUUAUCGUCAAGUGAUCUUCAGCAUUUAGAGAAACUCGACAUCAGGGGUUGUAAAAAAUUAUGUGAGCUGCCCAAAAUGAUCCAAAAGCUGACCAAACUUAGGGUCUUGUUAAACAACGAGUGCUCAGAAUUGAAGGGCAUGCCCCGAGGGAUCAGCAAGUUAGUUAGCUUGCAGGAAUUGUCUGUUUUUGUGGUCGGCAAGCAAGACCGCGUCGAACAUUGUGCCAGCAUCUCUGAGCUCGAGCACCUUAAGCUUGUCGGCGAGCUGGAGAUCAAGGGUCUUGAAAAUGUGACGAGUCCGGUUGACGCCAAGGCUGCAAAUUUGAUAGAGAAGAACCUGCGGUCUUUGAAGUUGAAAUGGAACGUUUUAAGUGCGGAAGAAGGCAUGGACAGUACUGUACUACCGGCGGAAGAGAUCGAAACCGUGCUAGAAAAUCUUCAACCACAUCAGAAGCUAGAGGAAUUGGAAAUAGAAGGCUACGGAGGCGGGAAGUUUCCUAGCUGGAUGAUGAAUAGGAUUGGCUCGUGCCUCCCAAAUCUCGUUAAAAUCAAACUUGAGAAUAUGCCCGGGUGCAGCUCACUCCCGCCGCUGGGGCAACUCCCUUUUCUUAAAGCACUAACUAUACGAAAUAUGCCCGCGGUAACAAAUUUGGGCGUAGAUAAGUUCCCUGCGCUGAUGAGACUUAACUUGUCCUCCAUGCCGGUGCUGCGAGAAUGGGUGACUGUGUUGACGGUGGAUGACGAAGAAGGCAGGCGAGAGCGAGUUCCCAUUUUUCCGUGUCUCACUCAAUUGUACCUUAAAGAAUGCCCUAAAUUGAGGCCGGAGCCUUGCCUCCCGCCAUCGGUUUUGCAUAUGGGCAUCUCUAGAACAAGCAGCGAGAACCUAUCGUUGAUUUUCGAACGCGCGAUGCCACUUGGUGAUGGUGAUGGUGAUGGUGAUGGUGAUGGUGAUGCCGCCGUUUCACCCCAACCGCCACCGAAUAAGGGGCUGCGGAGUCUACAAAUAGGAGGAUGUCAGCAGCUAACUUGUUUGCCCGAGAGCUUGCGGAGUCUCACGUCUCUCCAGCGGCUGAUAAUAUCUGAUUGUGAAGAUCUUGAGAGAAUUGAAGAUUGGUUUGGGGAGCUCUCCGACCUGCGGUCCUUGAUCAUCCAGGGGUGCAGCAGUCUCCGUUACUUGCCUGCCCACAAGAUGACCGCACUUAAGAGGUUACAUAUUGAUGGUUACCCGCUGUUGUUCGAUGCAGAUGGAAGGUAAUUAAUUUGCAACUCUGGCUACUCUUUAUUUAGCUGGCUAGCACCUUAAUAUUCUAUCGUCGCUAGCAUAUAAACCUCUCUUCUUCUUCUUCCUUUUUUUUUUUUCUAAAUAUUCGGAUGGAAAACUUUCAAUUAGCCCCACCGCACGUGAUUCGGAGCAUUUUCAUUUGCUAUGAAAUAUUUCAUUUUGCUAUUUUAAUUUAUAGUUGUGUUUUUAUUUUCUUGCAAAAAUCUUCUACAAAAAAGAAAAAAAAAAAUUAAAGUGCUAAAAUAUAUGAAUUAUAAGACAGUCAAGUAAUUUAUUUUACAAACCACAUAGGGACUAUGUGAAAUAAAUAAAUAAAUAAAUAAAUAAAUAAAUAAAUAUAUAUAUAUUAUAGUAUUUUAUGAUUUAUAAAUUUUAGCACUUUAAAUAGUUUUACUUUAAAAUCUUGUGGUUAUUCCUUUUCUUUGUAUCAUCGUAAGAAUUUGCCGUCAAGUAAAUGUAUUAAAGUGCUAAAAUUUAUAAAUCAUGGGAUAGUAAAGUGAUACAUUUUAUGAAACAAAAGGUAGCCGCCUGUAUCUAUAUAUAUUUUUUCACAUAGCACUCUAUGGUUUAUAAACUAUAUUCCUUUACUACUCUAUAAUUCAAAAUUUCUAGCACUUCAAUAUUCUUUGGUAGUAGGUCCUUACGGUAAAAUAAAGACGCAAUAAUAAAGUAGCAANGGUUUUCUGGAAAAAAUUUCAAGUGGUCUCUUGCAUGUACAUAGACUAAUUAAUGAAAUUUUAACCUUUUCUUAAUUUGUAGCGAUUUGAGAUGCUAAAAAAUUUCUACUUGAACGAUAUAUAGUAUUUACAAAGUAACUAUUUUCGGUCAUAUUGUUGAUAUACUAUUCGAGUCCUAGGAUAUUUUUUUUUACAAAUUGAAAUCAGGUAUGUUAUAUAUCAUACGUUAUUAGAAAGUCUAAGCAAAAUAUACAACACAUAUAUACUGCACGAGUGUCGAAUAAAAAAGUAACCUUUUUGUGUUGUUGUGGUGUAGAAAAUACCCGUACAAGGAACAAGCGAGCAGCUCGUCACAUGUGGAAGAGAGCUCACCGAAGGAGGAGGAGGAGAAGAAGAUUGGUUAGCGAGGAGAGCAUAAGUAUAUGUAUCUCUUAUUUGGAGUUAAAAGAUAUUAGAUAUUAGAUAAAUUAUACUGCACUUUGAAAGCGGCCAAUUGGGCUUUACGAAUUUCGAUUUUAAUUUGAUUUUGAUAUAAGAAAUUUUCUUUGAAAGAUUUGUUAGAUCCUUUUAGAAUUUAGUCUCUUCCGUUAAACAAAGUACAGAAUGUUUCAUAAAAUAAAAAAAAAUUUUAUCAAAUUUUAAAAUAUUUUAUCAAAAAACAUUAAGUAUCCUUUCGAAUUCUCUAAGGAACAUAAUAAACACUGCGGAAAGUUAGAGAGUAGAAUUAAAUUUUUAAAGUUCAGUUAUUUAUCUCAAAGCGUAGUGUAGCUCACGUAAGAAUCAUUAUCUUUUAGCUUAUUUGGUGAUCAGUAUUCCCCUUUGAGAAGAGUUUUUUUUUCCCCUUUGUUUUGCCAAAAAUAAACAAAUUUUAUAUAUCUACAUGCAAUGGUGAGAGUUUUUAUUCAUGGACUUGGGGCCUUCUCUUUCAGGUUUGUGCUAUUUAGCUUUCCGGACAAGAAUUGUAGUGUGCUGUUGUCGGAUUAAUAUAUAUUUGUCUUUUCGUGAUAUAAAUUGAGUUUCUGAAUGUACUAUUUUAUAAUUUGGUUUGAUUGUUGGUAAUUUUAUGGUGUUCUAUGUAUAUGUUAUGGGCUUGAAAAAGGUUGUUUGGUUUGAAUAAACAAAAUGUUGCUACUUUUUUUAAUACGGAUAUUAGAGGGUACAUUAAUUUUUAAGUAAAUCUGACGUAGAGUUUAUUACUAGCUAGUAUAUAUGCAUUGUGUUACGGAAUUGUUUAAAAUCAUCAGAUGCUGUUUUUGGCAUGCAAGUUGGACCUACUAUAUAUGUAUGUACCGCAGUUGAGAGGGUUAAUUUCCAUAUAUGUUUACUUUAAUUUAUCUUUUCUUUUAUUUGAUUAGAUCCGAAUUAAGCCAAUAAAUUUUAAAGUAUUAAAAGUUUUAUUAUUUUGCUUUCUGCAAGAUUUUUAGUUUUUAAAUUCCACAAAUCUGAAUCGAUUUAUUAAUAAAAUCAAACUGAAUCAAUAGAAGUGAGUUGCUUUUUCAGUUUGGUUUUUACCAAACAUGUGGUUUAAAUGAAAAUACAGAUAUGUAUUGCUGCAUUAUUUAAUUUGUUUGAGUUAAGUGAUCUCACUGCUCGUGCAAUAUCAAAUUUAGAUUAAUUAUUUAUUUUAAUAAAUUUAUAGCUUCAUAAAUUUAUAAAAUAUAGUAAUUAAUUAAACAUGUAAAGAUAAACAAUACAUUUAAAUUUUAAAGCUAAAGAGAUAUUUGACUCAAAUCAAAUAAAUUAUAAAUUAUAUAGCAACAUUAAAACUCUUUUAAAGAUUAGAUAGUAAAAUUAAAAUAAGUGAUAGUUGUGGUAAGUUAUAUAAAGUUCUUAUUUUUUUAUUCAAGUAAUCCAGAAAAUUAAAAGAGGUAUUUACUUCGAAAUAAGUUAAAUUAUUUUUUAUGGACAAGUAUUUUUCGAGACCUUAACAUCUGGGACCAACCGUAAAAAUAAGGAAAAUUGCAUGAAAUUAAUUAACCAAAAUUUUAUUUUAUAGGAAAAAAAGGAUAAAAUUUUUAAAAUAUUUUGAUGUUAUUGUUUAUUCUUUCUGAUUUGAGUUUCAUGAAAUUAAAAUUAUUGCCAAUACCUAGUGCAUGGGCACUAUGCCCUUUUUUCUUUUUUUCUUUUUUUUUAUGAAAAUGUAGUAUGCAUAAUUGAUCCUUGAUGUAUACUAUAUUUUUAAUUUAACAACGGAAAAAAUAUGCUGUGAAAAUUAAACUAGUGGACGAGAUAGAGUAAGGAUAUAUGAAUGCAUCAGGUGCAUCCAAUCGUUUUAUAAGGCUAUUAAAUUAUUUAAAUUAAAUAAAAAUUUUAAAUAUAAUAAAUAUAAAUUUUUUUGAAAAAAAUAAAUAGCUAGGUUACAAAUUAUCCAAAAUUUAAUUAUCUUUGUAUAUUCAAAAUUCAAAAUCAUCAUAAGAAACUGCAUCUAACUUGCGAUGGCCAGUUCCUUAAAAUUAAAAUCCAAAACAAAAGGUACGAUCUACAGUAUCUAAAUGGAUUAUGUAUAAAAACACAAGGUUAAAAAAAAAAAAAAAAAAAAAAAAAAAAAANAAAAUUGAAUGAAAUUAAUUAACCAAAAUUUUAUUUUAUUGGAAAAAUAACCAUAAAAUUUUUAAAAUUUUCUGAUUUUAUUGUUUAUUCUUUCUGAUUUGAGUUUCAUGAAAUUAUUGCCCAUACCCAGUGCAUGGGCACUAUGCCCCUUUUUUUUCUUUUUUUCUUUUUUUUUUUUGAGGAAAUGUAGUAUGCAUAAUUGAUCCUUGAUGUAUACUAUAUUUUUAAUUUAACAACGGAAAAAAUAUAUGUGAAAAUUAAACUAGUGGACGAGAUAGAGUAAGGAUAUAUGAAUGCAUCAGGUGCAUCCAAUGUUUUAUAAAGCUAUUAAAUUAUUUAAUUUAAAUAAAAUUUUUAAAUAUAAUAAAUUUAUUUUUUUUUGAAAAAAAUAAAUAGCUAGGUUUCAAAUUAUCUAAAAUUUAAUUAUCUUUGUAUAUUCAAAAUUCAAAAUCAUCAUAAGAAAUUGCAUCUGAUUUGUGAUGGCCAGUUCCUUAAAAUUAAAAUCCAAAACAAAAAGUACGAUCUACAAUAUCUAAAUGGAUUAUGAUGAUUUUGAAUUUUGAAUAUACAAAAAAAAAAAAAAACUGUUACUAAGUCAUCUGAAGUCUAUUCGUCUGUCGUAGAGAAAGAGUAAUUAUUUGAUUUAUGAAGAAAUAUGUCUUCAAAAUAAGAAAUACUACUGAUGCAUUCAAAAGUGUGGUGUAAAUCUAAGAUUUAUUCUCAAUAUGAAUUUUGUUUUAAAUCUCAUCUUAGCAUCCGUUCAUUGUAUGGACUAGUUUACUGGAAUAAACUCUGGCAUCCUACCUAGUUCCAUAUAACGUUUUGGUUCCGGUGGUCGUAGCAGGGUAAAUUUGUAUUUAUCAGAUCAACUUAUCAUGACACAUAACUUCUCUUUGCUUUUUCUUUUCUUUUUUUUUUUUUUGGAUAAAAGCCUUCCCAUGCUGGUAUGCAAGAGAUUAUAACUGGAUUGCUUAUGAAUAUGAGAGAAGACUAGUGCUUAUUGUUUUGGAAUUUGUUGCUUGUCUGAUGAUCCUGUCUGUUUCUUACAUUUAUUUGAUUUUUUAUAUAACAGGAACGACGAAUGAGAGGUCAAGCAUUUGUGACUUUUCCAACUGUCGAUCUUGCUCAGCAUGCAUUGGUUUGUCUAUCUUUUGAGGCUAAAAACUAUUUUUUUAAAAAAAAUUUUAAGGGCCGCUGAAAAUUUAGUUAAAAACUAAAAUUAAGUUCAUGUAUGAUGUUGCUUGUUUUUUAAUACCUGGGCGAAUUUUGAGAAUAUGUAGCCCAAAGAAAGCACCUGCUUUGAUGCUUUGGAGGGCCCACAAAUUUCAAAAGCUGCCCAAAAAAGACAUCUUUUAUGCUUUGGAGUGCUCCCUUCAAAUGUUUUUAAAUGAUGAUAGGAACUGUCACUGGAGAAGCAUCAUGCCGCAGAGGCAUUCUUCUCGAUCUGUUAUAGUGCUUGAGAGCUUUGAUAGGAGCUCUCAAGCACUUUCGGAAAUUCUUUUGGGGCCAUCGAACGCAUAAAAGCUGGUGUGUUCGAAAAUAGGCCUCAGUCUGCGAAGCAGCUCUAUUUCUAUCAUGAACUGUUUCACCUGAAGUUAUUUUCGGAAAAAAGAAAAAAAAAAAAGUGAAAAAGAUAGGCUCGAAAGUGGGGAGCAGAGAAUCUGCAAUUUUUACUCUGCAAUACUUUAGUUAUGAUAAUUAUGUUCUUCAAUUUUAAUCUUCUAUUCUAGAGUAACGAGCAUUGUUCAUAAUAAUACAUAUCCAUUGUUCAUAAUAAUGGAUAUGUAUUCAAAGGCAAGGCGAUGAUCAUCCAGUUUGGUUGCAAUCCUGUUGCUGGCAAAGCUACCUAAUUAAAUGGGGAUUUUGAUGUAGACCAUGGGUGCAUGCCUUGGGAUGGAAAUUUUGAUCAAUCCAAAAAUUGUCACAGCUCUUCAACGUCCAAUAAAAGAUGGGUAUGGUUUUUUCAUUUUUAAAAAAAUAAUGAUGUGUAUCGUGUGCGUUCAUGAGGUUUCAUUUAUUUUAUCAGAAAUGAUUCAGUACUUUAUUAUUAAAAAAAUAAAAUAGAUCCUAACCGUUGAUUAAUAGAGGGUAAAGAUGUAAUUUAAUAUUUAGCAGGUAAAUGGGUUGCAUCAUUCGAAGUUAUUUCGAUAAUUAAACUAUACAGCAUUUAAAAAAACUUUUAAUUGAUAUUCUAAAUUUAUGCAUUAAUUUGCACUAAUUUAGGAAAUUGAUUGAUUACCCUAAUUUAGGCAUUAAUUAGGCAUUAAUUUACGCAUUUAGUUUAGAAAUUUUAGUGUUUCUAAAAUUUAGGCAUUAAUUUAAAUUAUAGGAAUUUUAGAAAUAGUUCUAUUUCUAAAUACAUUGAAUUUAAAUAUUAAAUAUUAAAUAUUUAAAAUUAAAAAAUUAAAAUUUAAAUUAGAGGAAUUUUGUAUUACUAUUUAAAAAAUUUGUAAUGUUGAUAAAUAUUUUAAUUCAACAUACUUAAUAUGUUUAAGAAAAUUUUUAAAUUCCUAAAGUUUAGACAACAAUUUUGUAUCACUUAUUUUAAAAAAAAUUAAAUGUUGGUAAAAAAAUUAUAAAUUAAAUGUAUUUAAUAUGUUAAAAAAAUUAGAAUUGUUCUACUUUAGACGUUAAUUAUUUAUCAUUAUUCAAAAAAAUUUGUAAUGUUGGUAAAUAUUUAAAUUUAACAUAUUUUAUAUGCUUAACAAACUUAUGAAUUCAUCUUAGACAUUAAUUUUGUAUUACUAACUUUAAAAAUUGAGUGUGGACAACAUAUUUAAAUUCAACAUAUUUAAUAUGUUUAAAAAUAUUUAAGAAUUUUUCUAAUUUAGAUAUUAAUUCUUUAUCACUAUUUAAAAAUUUUAAUGUGAAUAAUUGAUUAGAAAUAUAGGGUAUAAUUCAAAUUUAUUCUUAGAAUAGAAUUGUAUGGACAAAAUUAAUUCAAAUUUUAAUAGAAAAAAUUUAUCUUUUAAAAUAAUAAGAUAAUGUAUUGUAAUUUAAAAUAUAAUUUUUUUAUAUGAAAUGCCAAAUAUGAGAGGAAAAAAGAUAGAGAGAGAAAAAAAAUAAAGAGAGAAUAAAAAUUUUGAUAAUAUAAUAGAGAUAAAAUGACUAAAUUGCUCAUGUAUUAAAAGAUAAAAAUAUUUUUUUUUGAGGUAUCUGAUGAUCGGUACCUCUCCUAAAGUGACUUGCUAUUAUAGGUCACAAUUUUAAAAAAAUUAAAUCUGGACCGUUGAAUGGGAGUGAAUGAACGGUAAGAAAAAAAAAAAAAAGUAUAGAAGCAUUACUCUUAUUUUAUGGCCACUUCUGAUGAAACACCUAUAUAAUAGGGCUACACAUGUCGACCUCAUGCAAUAAUGCAUGCGUAGUGGCCACAAGGUGCUUCAUCUAGGUUCCUAUGAGCAGCGCUAGAACUUUAGUAACCAGAUUUUUGCAUCAAAUUAGUUCAUUAAAGUUUGAACUGAGUAGUUAAGCCAGCAAUUGCCCUUCUUCAGGAUUUUGUAUCCUCCGAAUGGAAUAUGCAUGAACUAUUGUUGCUGCUUUUCUGAGGAAGGUUUUAACCAUCUAUUAAAAGCUCAUUUCGAAGUGCAAAUUAUCAUUAGUUACUUUCUAAUAUUGCUGAAUUGAUCAGUCAGUUUUGUUCAAUUUGGCCUUUGGUUUUUGUGGUGAUUUUUGACAUAUUUUUCUGCUUUUGUGUUGAUAAGCUACGAGGACUGGUUCGCCAUAUUUUAAAGUUCAGCAACUACAAUCCAUGCCGUGGAGCUCUACUGCCGCAAUGAGAUGGUUACUUGUGUGCGCCUCCUAGUUUUGUUUUAUCCAGGAACAUGACAAACUCAGUUGGAAUUGAGAUGGUGAUGAAAGGUAACACACACUUUGUAGAUUGUAAAAUUCUCUCCAUGGUGAACUACCCCACCAGUCUAUCAACUCUUAACCAAGUUCCAUUUUGAUCCUCGAGCUUUUAGGGAUUGUUUGCGACUUUGAACUCUUAAAUGUUUCGCACAUCUAAUUCUAUUAGAUGGCAAAUUAUUGGUUACACCCAAUAUAUGUGUACAUGUUUGUAUACUUAUCUAUUGAUUGUUGCUUGUGAAUUUACAAUCGUUUUUUUUUAUUUAAAAAUUAGAGUAUUGAAUUGAAAGUAUGUGAUGGAAAAAAGGGCUAAUGAACUUAUGUGCGCAAACAUACUCGUACCGUUACUUCCAAAGUGUAAUAGAGCACGUGAACAAUGGGAAAGCGAAUAUAGUAGCACUUAAGCACCUAGUACAAUUUAUGAGCUGUACCCCUACAUAAUUAUAGUAGUGGUGGGUCCAUGCUUUGAUUAUUGGGCAUCUGAUCUAAUAGUGACUUUUAAAGACUCGGUACAUAAGAGAUGCUUAGGAAACAUUGUGGAUCACAUGAAAGGUAUAACCCUGUAAAGUUAUUUGUGAGCUGGUAAAUUUAUUUAAUGCUCUUGAUGCACUGAUGUGAUAUGUAAAAUUAUCAAAAUCUCUUGUAUUGGAAUUGCCACCAUAAGGAAAAUAUAUAAAACAAUAAUUUUGAAAAAUUUGUAGCAGUACUUGUGCAAGUGGGGAGGUAAUAAUUUUUUUCUUCCCUUAAGUGGGUUGAUAUAGGAGAAAUUAUCGAAUUAUCUGAUUGAUCAAGUUCAAUGUGUACCCAUUUUUUUUAAACUUGAUCUCAUAUAUUAGGAUUUUGAAUUUAAAUUUUUAUUUUAAAAUAUAAAAGUUUGGUAGGGUGGGUGCACCGAUGAUGUGGCGCAUGAGGUGCAAGCGAUAUUUCCCACGACAAAAGAAUUAAAGUAAAAGCAAAAUAAGAACAAAGCUAAAAGCACUUGCCCGCUUUAUUCCUGUCCUCACGCAGUGGAGGAAAAAAGAAAUUUGUUAAUCUAUAUGUAUGUUUUAAGUCUCACAUUUCAAGAUAAUUUGGUAAACUUGGUAAAUUUUUUUUCCUUCAAUUAUUAAUAAGUCCAAAGUUUUUCUUAGAUCUAUCUAUUAACUAAAAAAAAAUCAAAAGUUAAGUGCAAACUAUUUUCAUGAAUAAGGGAAAUUAAGAAGAAAAUGAUAAAAAAAAACAGCUAAACAUUUUAAUGAACAAGAAAGAGAGAGUAAAGAAUAACAAAGCUGAUUGUUUUCAUGAACAAGGGAAAGAAGAAAAGAACAAAACAAAGCAGGGAAAAGAAGAAAAUAAUAAACAUAAACUAAGCACGCGGCGUGCAUAUAUGCUAAUUAAUAUUCAGUAUACUCUUCUUUGUUGUAGGAGUUUUUUUUUUUUUUUUUGAGAAAAAAAUAGCGAGUUAUUUGUUUCAUUUAUUAGGUAAAAUAAACUAGACAUAUAUAAUAGAAACAGCCGAGGCUUCUGAGAAAAAAAUUAAAAAAGCAAACCAAAAGGAAAUUUGAACUCUGGUAGUGUGGUGUAGUGUUGCAGUGGUCUCCAUACUUUGUUUCCUUUUUUUCUCUUUUUUUUGGGCAAUCAAAAUUUAUUCAUAUCAAUUCUUCAAGUAUAAUAGCAUCUUAGAAAAAUACCUUGGGGUGAUAGCCGUUAUGAAAUUAUUCAAUCUGAUCGGACUCUGAAGCAAAAAAUUGUCAAAUUUGGAUUGAAAUUUUACAUUGAAAUUUUACUGUCCAUUACGGAUUCAGAUUCAGAUCUGAAAUUUGAAAUUUUUUUGAGUUCAAAUUAAGAUUUACUAUUCCUUUUUAAAUUCGAAUUCAAAUUAUUGAAAACCAAAACUGAUUUUUGACUGCUUUUUUAAUUUCUCAAGUAAUGCCAUUUGAAAAUGGACACGGAAACAACAAGACCCAAAGAGCAAAUUCGAAUCUGAUAAUAUUUUUUAUAAUCUGUACAACAGGAUAAAGACGAUUGAGGGACCAGCGUGCAAAUCGUCAAAGAUUCCCAGCGUAAUUAUCGGAGCGGCAGCACAAGAAUUGGAGCAGUCACCUACACCUACUGCCAACUUUUCCUCAAUUUCCAAGCACGAGAGAGAGAGAGAAAAAAAAAAAAAAAAAACAACAACUGGAGCAUGCUUUUCUGCCUCUUCAUCUGAAAAUGGACACGACAAUACGAAGAUUCAAAUAUUUUUAUAAUUUGUACAAUUGGAUAAAGAUUGAUCAUUGAUCAUGGGGUGUAUUUCACUAGUUGGAUUUUUUUUUUUUUUUUUGAGAGAGAAAAAUAGUAUAGUACCAGUUUCGUAUAUUUCAUUCAAAAAUAAACUUAGCUAGAACUAUAAAUUAAUUAAAAUUCAAAUUUAAUUCUCGAAUAUCAAUCACCAAACUUUUUUUGCCACUUGCGCUAGAAACCGUCGGUGCGGGAUGCAUCUUCUAUGCCCAAUGAAAUGAAUGUAUAAGUAAGAGUUUUCGAAAAAAAAGAAAAAAACGAAAAAAAAAAAAAGCAUUGGCGCGUGCGUUCUCUCGAAGCUCCUCCGGCGGCCCCACCAUAGUUAUAUGAGACGCAGCACAAUAAAUGGAGCAACCAUCUUCCAGCGGUGGAGAGCAUCCCCUUAAUUAUCCUCUGCUUCUCUGUAGUAGGAUGUUCGUAUUGAGAAGAAUUAGGCAGCAGCACGCGCGAUGGCGGAGGGGAUCGCAUUCGGUUUGGUGAAGGGAGUGCUCGGCAAUCUGGGCUCCGCUCUCUGGAACGAAAUCGGGCUGCUGCGGAGCUUCAAGAACGAAAUUGUGCUUAAUUAUUAUUAUUAUUAUUAUUUAUUACUAUAUAUAUAAAAGUAGAACCCUUAAUGAACCCUAUGUGAGAAGCUGACACGUAGCUUUCUAUAUACUUGUCACGUGUCAAACUCAAGUAUGGAUAUUUGGUUACGAAUUAUUUAAAAUUAUUGGUUUAAUUAAUUAUUUAAAAUUAUUGGUUGCGAAAUACGCAAUAAUCUGUUGCGAAUUAUUUUUUCGCGAUGGAAAUAAUCUGUUACAAAUUCAAAUUUCGUAUUAGCAGAUAAUUAAGAAAAAAAAUUCAAAACUCACGUUUUUAUAAAAAAAUAAUAUCUUUUAUUAUAUUAUUAAAAAUCACAUAUAAUGAAUAAAAUUUUAUUUCAAAGUCACCUAUAAUUAUGUUGAGAUAUUUGAAAAAUCUAUGGAUAUUAUGUUACGAAAGAAUUGGCGGUGCGGAUAUUACGCGUGAGAAGAAAAAUAUUUAUCUUUAUUUGGAAAUAAAUUAUUACUUAGUUAAUUAUUUAAAAUGAUUGGUUGAAAUUUCUGGACAUAAAAAUAUUAGUAAAAAAGUAUAGGCAUUUUUGGAAAGAGGAAAAAAUUUAAAACUCACCUCACUCCUGUAAUUUUCUUCGCUCUUAAAUAUUGAUGCUUUAAAAUAGAACAUGCUAUUUCCCUACUGUCACUUCUGUAAUUUUCAUUUCGUAAUUUUUUUCCUUUAUGUCACUCAUGUAACUUUUCAUCUUCAUGCAAUAAAAUUUUUUUUUCUUUAUUUUUUAUUGAAAACCAACAUCUAUAUAUUUUUGAAUCUUAAAAGCGACAGUAGGAACAUAAUAUAUGUGUGCUUACUCUAAUUUGUGUCAAAUAUGAAAGUUUAGUUGAUCUCAUUAUAUGCUUAAAUAUUAAUGUCAUUUGUAAUUUUUCAUAUCAAUUUUAGUUAUCAUUUUAUUUCGCACAUCAAUAUGUAAAUGUAAAUUGUUUUACAUACCAAUUCAUAGAUAAUAGAGCAGGAUUGAAUUUUGCAUUUUCGUUGAAUAUUUACUUUGGUCCAAUUUUUUUUUUUCUCUAGCUUGUGUACUUUAAUAUGUACUAUAAUUAAGAUUGAUAGUAUAUUUUUUUAUUUGUUAAAAAAUAUAAAAUUAAUUAAAAAAUUUUUUUAUUAUCAUCACAUAAUAAUUUUUAUUAUUCUAUAUUAUUAUAUUAGCCGUGCAUCGCACGGGUGAAAAUCUAGUUAUUAUUAUUAUUACUACGAUAAAGCAUUUUUGAGUACCUAACGUUUGGGACCAACCGUACAAAAAGGAAAAUUGUACGAAAUUAACUUAAAUUUUAUUUUAUUGGAAAUAUAGCCGUAAAUUUUUUUAAAAAUGUUUUGAUUUAUUGUCUAUUCUUUCUAAUUUGAGUUUCAUGAAAUUAUUGCCAAUUAUUUACGCAGCUAAUAUGCACUAUGCCUUUUUUUCUUUUCUUUUUUUUUACACUUUAGAAAAUACAGUAUGCCGUAACUGAUCUUUGGUGUAAACUAUAUUUUCAAUUUAGCAAUCGGAAAAAAAAAUAUUUUUUGAAAAUUAAACAUGUGGAUGAAAUAUUAAGGUAUCGCACAAAUAUAACUGCAUAGUUCUUCAGUAAUAAUUAAGCAUAAUUUUAUAGUUUUGGAGGAGUAUAGAUUAAAACCGGAUUAAAGCUAAGCUUUUGGACCAUUCAAAAUAUAGAAAUAUUGCUUCUAACCACCCGGUGCCCAAACAAAGUCAGCUCAGUUGUAAUUUUUAUACUUACAAAUUAAAAUGGCUGGAAUAAAAUAAGAAAAAUAUUAAGGAUGAAUAAAACCCUGGUUCACACCUGUUUGGAUGCACCAGGUGUGGGUAGUGAUUUUUCAUGAACCAAAAUCAUAUAGUGUUAAAGAAUAGCGAGAAAAAUUAAAUUAAAAUUUUUAAAUAUUAGGUAAUUAAUUUCAAAUGAUAAAAAAUUCAGAUUAAUUACACAUAUUUUUAUCUCCCAAAAAUAAAACACACAACAACAACAAUAACAUGACCUCUGCAAAGAAGGGUCUUUCUUCGUCAUGAACAACAGGGCAUCCCUCUCUACCUUGAUCCGAAUUUGGUUGAUUAAGAGAAAAAAAAUUUUGAGCUCCCAAUAGAUAGAAAGAAACAUGGCUGCAUAUAAUUGUGGAGGGAAGGAUUUCUUUUUUUUUUUUUUAGAAAAAAAGGAGACAAAGCCUUAAUUAGCAAGAGCUCUUUUUGUACGAAUGAACAAGUGCAUUUAUGUAUGGUGACUUGGUCACGUUUUUAAGUUUCCUACAUGUAUUGCUUGGAUCCAUUAGUGAUAUUUACAGUUUGUAAUGGAUUGAUUCAUUAAGCAGUGCAGUCAAUUUGUUGUUGGAUGUAUGCUUCAAAAGCUUGGUCUUUCGUCAAAAAAUUAAUUGAAUGGUUCAAGCUAGGUGUUAUGCAAAAAGAUUCAAAUAAAUGGUUCAAGUUAGGUGUUUUUUUUUUUUAUAACAUUAUAAGCAUUGGAUGGAUUUUUGCUUUAAUCUAAAUAGUUUUAGAGUUAGCAGCUUGUUUUGGACACUCUUUAAUACUCGUUUUGGAGAGAAACCAUGCCUUUCUGCCUCUUUGUAUCGAAAUGGACAAGGAAACAGCAAGAUGCAAAGAGCAAAUUUGAUACUUACAAUAGUAUAAUCUAUUUCUCAAUAUCAAAGGAGGGUUUGGGAAUCAAAGGGUGACAUGUGUCGCCCUAAACCCUUUUACUCUCUCUCCACCCAAAACCAAUAACUUGAUAUUUUUAAAAGUAUAGUAGCUAAAUUUUAUAUAUAUCAAAAUUUAAAAUUUUGAUACUUUCAAAUUUUAUAUUUUAUAUUUUAAAAUUUAAAUUUAAUUUAUAAUAUUUAUUUUUAAAAUUUAAAUUUUAAAUUAAUUAAUUAAUUUUAUUAAUAAUUCAUAAUAUAUAAUAUAGUUAAUUAAUUUUAUUAAUAAUACGCAUAAUAAAUUGCGUAAUAAAAUCUAACCUAAUAGAUGCAAUUUAAAUCACGUAAAGUGUCACGCUCCGAGCUCCGCCUAUUUGGUCGGAUUCGGGCACGCCGACAGACCGCCGAACGGACANNNNNNNNNNNNNNNNNNNNNNNNNNNNNNNNNNNNNNNNNNNNNNNNNNNNNNNNNNNNNNNNNNNNNNNNNNNNNNNNNNNNNNNNNNNNNNNNNNNNNNNNNNNNNNNNNNNNNNNNNNNNNNNNNNNNNNNNNNNNNNNNNNNNNNNNNNNNNNNNNNNNNNNNNNNNNNNNNNNNNNNNNNNNNNNNNNNNNNNNNNNNNNNNNNNNNNNNNNNNNNNNNNNNNNNNNNNNNNNNNNNNNNNNNNNNNNNNNNNNNNNNNNNNNNNNNNNNNNNNNNNNNNNNNNNNNNNNNNNNNNNNNNNNNNNNNNNNNNNNNNNNNNNNNNNNNNNNNNNNNNNNNNNNNNNNNNNNNNNNNNNNNNNNNNNNNNNNNNNNNNNNNNNNNNNNNNNNNNNNNNNNNNNNNNNNNNNNNNNNNNNNNNNNNNNNNNNNNNNNNNNNNNNNNNNNNNNNNNNNNNNNNNNNNNNNNNNNNNNNNNNNNNNNNNNNNNNNNNNNNNNNNNNNNNNNNNNNNNNNNNNNNNNNNNNNNNNNNNNNNNNNNNNNNNNNNNNNNNNNNNNNNNNNNNNNNNNNNNNNNNNNNNNNNNNNNNNNNNNNNNNNNNNNNNNNNNNNNNNNNNNNNNNNNNNNNNNNNNNNNNNNNNNNNNNNNNNNNNNNNNNNNNNNNNNNNCUAUAUAAAAAUAUUAAAAAAAUAAAAUUUAUUAUAAAAAUAUUUUUACAUUUGCAGCAUUGCGCGGGUAUUUCACUUGUCUUCUACUAUAUUAAAGGAGGGUUUGAGGAGACCUUGGGGUGACAAAUGUCCCUCGAACCCUUCCCUACUCUCUCUCAUAUAUAUAUAUAUGUAUAUAUAUGUAUAUGUAUAUAUGUGUAUAUAUAUAUAUAUAUGUGUAUAUGUAUAUAUGUGUAUAUGUAUAUAUGUGUAUAUAUAUAUAUAUGUGUAUAUGUAUGUGUAUAUGUGUAUAUAUAUAUAUAUGUAUAUAUAUAUAUAUAUGUGUAUAUGUAUAUAUGUAUAUAUAUGUGUAUAUGUAUAUAUGUAUAUAUAUGUAUAUAUAUGUAUGAAUGAGGGUACUAUGCUAUCGGAAGCACGGAGCCUUCCGUGCUUCCAGCUCGUUUUCGAUGUUGCGAUUUUCGAAUCGUCGAUUGGCUCCGUUAAAAUUGAUCUAGAGUAUUUGAAGUGCCUAGAAAAUAAAUUUUAUUAUUUUUCGAUAUCAUUUGCCUAGUGAUCGAAUGAGCUCAAAAUCAACAAAUUUCAAUGGCCGUAGUGAGCCGUUUGCAAGUUUAACGGUAUAGAAAUAUCCAAAUCACGUGAAAUUUUGAUAGAAAAUUUUUUAUACUAUAUAAAACAAGAUCAAUAUUUUUGAUUUAAAAUUUUAAUGUCAUAUUANCGGCAGGCUGAGUUCAAGCACCGUGAGACAUUCUCGGCCGUCGACGAAAAGGAAAUAGUUGGGAGAUAUGAUGAUAAAGAGAAAAUUGUGAAGCUACUGCUAGAGACGGCCGGCGAUCACGACGUGUCGGUCAUUCCGAUCGUGGGAUUGGGGGGUUUGGGGAAGACGACGCUCGCUCAAAUGGCCUUCAACGACGGACGGGUUACGGGCCAGCAGCGCUUCGAUCUACGGGUGUGGGUCUGCGUGUCUACCGAUUUCCACAUGAAGACGAUUGAUUGCAAAGCCGGUAAUAUCUGCAACCAAAGAGGAGUGUGAUCUUGAUAACUUGGAAUCCGUAGCGAGUUUUCUCCUCAGGAUUUUUAGUCUAAACAGAUUUUUGCUGGUGCUGGACAAUGUAUGGAACGAAGAUCAGGAAAAGUGGGAGAAAUUGAAGGUCUUAUUUAAGGACGGCAAGAAGGGAAGUAAAAUUUUAGUGACCACACGGAGCAAGAAGGUUGCCACGAUAAUGAAAACAGUCGAACCACACCAUGUGAAAGUCUUAUCAGAUGAUGAUUGUUGGACAUUGUUCAAAAGACGGGCAUUUGACGAAGGGGAAGAGAACGACUAUCUGAGCUUGCUCGAAAUCGGAAAGCAGAUAGUUAGGAAGUGCGGCGGUGUGCCUUUAGCAGCAAAUGCUUUAGGAAGUAUGAUGCGCUUUAAGAGCAGGACGGAGGAUGCAUGGUCCGCUAUUAGAGAUAGCGAAAUAUGGAGGUUGGAAGAAGAAGGAACUAUUUUACCAUCAUUGAAAUUGAGCUACAUUCAGAUGCCAUCAGCUUUGAAGCAGUGCUUCGCUUACUGCUCCAUAUUCCCCAAAGACUAUGACAUUGACAAGGAUGACUUAAUCCGGCAAUGGAUUGCUUUAGGCUUCAUUUCAUCGCAUGAAAAAGGGACUUCGAUGGAAGAUAUUGGGAAUGAGUACUUUAACGAUCUAUUAUGGAUGUCUUUCCUUCAACAAGUGUGGGAAAGUUUUAGCAAGGUUACCUGCCGUAUGCAUGAUUUAGUGCAUGACCUCGCACAAUCUGUGGCAAAAGAAGAAGUUGCUGUUAUAGGUGCAGAAGACUAAGCAAGGAUCCCAGAAGGUUGCCGCUAUGCAUCAAUACAGAGUCGUUUCAUGCCACAAGUUUCAAUUACCGUAAUGCGAAGGUUGCGAACUCUUCAAUUUAGGGAAUCUGGUUCACCUAUUAUGAAUUUUUAUAGCGAAGCAAAAUGUUUACGCCUGUUGGAUUUACAUGAUUCCAAAAUUUCUAUGUUGCCAAGCUCAAUCAGUAAGUUGAAGCUCUUAAGAUACCUCAACCUUUCGGAGAACAGUAUACAAGAAUUGCCUAAAUCAAUUACCAGCCUCUGCAACUUGCAAACCUUGAAUCUUUCAGGCUGCCAAAAGAUCCGUACAUUACCCAAAUUUCUAGGAAGGCUUACGAAUUUGCGGAGUUUAGAUUUAAGAGAUUGCAAAUCUCUGACAAUACCAGACUCCAUUAGCAACCUUCAGAAUUUGUAAGCACUAAAUUUGAGUUCGUGCGAAAAGGCGAUAUCACUUGAACCUAUAUGUCACCUCAAAAACCUGCAUUACCUGGCCCUAUCACAUCUAGAUUCUUUGGUGACAUUACCUGAAUCCAUUGGGAGCGUUCAAAACUUGCGUAUUCUGAAUAUUUCUUGGUGCUCUUCUCUACUAUCAUUACCCUCAUCGUUUUGUCAACUCAAAAACCUACAUAACUUAUACCUAUUAUUUCUGACUUCUUUGGUGACAUUACCUGAAUCCAUUGGGAACCUUCAAAACUUGCGUCAUCUGAACCUUAUGUGUUGCUCUUCUCUACUAUCAUUACCCUCAUCGUCAAGUGAUCUUCAGCAUUUAGAGAAACUAGACAUUAGUAAUUGUGAAAAAUUAUGUGAGCUGCCUAAAAUGAUCCAAAAGCUGACCAAACUAAAAGAAUUGUUAAACUCCCAUUGCUCGGAAUUGAAGGGCAUGCCUCGAGGGAUCGGCAAGUUAGUUAGCUUGCAGGAAUUGUCCCUUUUUGUCGUCGGCAAGCAAGACCGCGUCGAACAUUGUGCUAG